CAGCCCAGCCUGUCCACGGCCCCUCAGGGCCUGCACAGGGCCCCCUGACCACCCAGCCGUGCCAUCUGGCCCCUGCUCCUCACCGUCAUGCCAUUGACCGUGCCCAGCUCCUCGCGGAUGGUGAAGAUGUCCAGCAUUGCCUGCGUGGGGUGCUCCCCCACGCCGUCCCCAGCGUUGAUCACCGGCUUGCGGCAGUGCCUGGCGGCCAGCUGGGAGCACCGGCAAGGCAGGGCAGGUGAGCGCAGGCAGAACACUAUUCCCACCAACCCCAUGGUAGCAGGACCCAACCCCAGCCCAGCUGGGGACCAUGUCCUGCCCCACAGCACAGGUUGCCAUCCCUGCCCCAAUGCCUCCAGAAGAGACGGCGGCUUCCCUCAGCCCCUCUCACCUCGACAGCGCCAGGCUGGGGGUGCCGCAGCACCAGCACGUCGGCGUAGCAGCACAUGGUCUGCACAGAGUCCGCCAGCGACUCGCCCUUCUGCACCGAGGAGGUGGCCUCGGAGAAGGACAGCACAGAGCCACCCAGCCGGCUCAUGGCUGCUGCGAAGGAGCUGCUGGUCCGCGUGCUCACCUCGUAGAACAUGGUCGCCAUCACCUUCCCCUGCAGGGCCAGGCCGUCACCUCGGGGAGCCCUGGCACCCCACCUGGCACGGGGCUCCCUCGGGGUGCCCAGGGGACAGGUGUGUGCUCACCUUGAGGAUCUCCACGCUCCGCUCCUUCUGCACCAGCAAGCGUAGGGUGUGUGCCACGUUGAACAGGUGGGACAGCUGCGGAGACAGGUGGCACCAGGGCUCAGCCGGGGUAGGGGAAGCACCAGAGCACCCACAGCCCCCGCGCCCACCCGGCCAGGCACCUGAUCCUUGGAGAACUGCUGGACAGAGAGGACGUGCUGCCCGACCAUGGCAGCGGCGGGGUGCAGCGCCGAGGAGGUCUGGGGGGCGCGCUGAGGCGACACCUGGCGCGGGACAGGGCCCAGUGGGUGGAAGAGGUUGUCUUGGACCGCCGCUGAAUCUGUGGCACCGAGUAGCUGGUCAGUCCACGGUGGUGCCCUGAGGAGCCCAGCCACCAGCCACGGAGCCUGGAU
Molecule: long non-coding RNA, 1084 nt
Filed under: Lonchura striata (white-rumped munia)
Lineage: Eukaryota; Metazoa; Chordata; Aves; Passeriformes; Estrildidae
Description: domestica (Bengalese finch) lncRNA (ENSLSDG00000012127.1)
Source: RNAcentral